This 245-nucleotide unclassified non-coding RNA is filed under the name uncultured fungus. RNAcentral's name for it is "sequence contains ITS1". Lineage: Eukaryota; Fungi. The record is from RNAcentral.
UAUUUGUCACGUUUAUCAGACGCGAUACGAUGUACAUUCUGUCAUACUUCGAGCGUGUGUGAAAAUAUUCAUAGACGAGGGCAUUCGUCACCCCAUCAGGGCUCCGUGAUCAUCCCAAGCUACAGGCGGUGCACAGGUGUGGAAGGUGGAUGCGAUCAGGAUGUGCACAUGCCUCUGGAGGCCAGCUACAACCCUUCUCGACAAACAUUUCAUUAAUGAUCCUUCCGCAGGUUCACCUACGGAAA